Molecule: ribosomal RNA, 508 nt
Filed under: uncultured bacterium
Lineage: Bacteria
Description: bacterial SSU rRNA
Rfam family: Bacterial small subunit ribosomal RNA
Source: RNAcentral
CAUGGCUCAGAUUGAACGCUGGCGGUAUGCUUAACACAUGCAAGUCGAACGGUAGCAGGCCUUCGGGCGCUGACGAGUGGCGGACGGGUGAGUAACGCGUAGGAAUCUGCCUCAUAGUGGGGGACAACGUGGGGAAACUCACGCUAAUACCGCAUACGCCCUACGGGGGAAAGCGGGGAUCUUCGGACCUCGCGCUAUGAGAUGAGCCUGCGUUAGAUUAGCUAGUUGGUAGGGUAAAGGCCUACCAAGGCGACGAUCUAUAGCUGGUCUGAGAGGACGAUCAGCCACACUGGGACUGAGACACGGCCCAGACUCCUACGGGAGGCAGCAGUGGGGAAUAUUGGACAAUGGGCGCAAGCCUGAUCCAGCAAUACCGCGUGUGUGAAGAAGGCCUUAGGGUUGUAAAGCACUUUCAAUUGGGAGGAAAACCGUAGUCGGUCAAUACCGGCAGCUUGACAUUACCUUUAGAAGAAGCACCGGCUAACUCCGUGCCAGCAGCCGCGGUAAC